UACGUAGGGGGCAAGCGUUGUCCGGAUUUAUUGGGCGUAAAGAGCGUGUAGGCGGCUUUGCAAGUCCGUUGUGAAAACUCGAGGCUCAACCUCGAGACGCCGGUGGAAACUGCAAAGCUAGAGUCCGGAAGAGGAGAGUGGAAUUCCUGGUGUAGCGGUGAAAUGCGCAGAUAUCAGGAAGAACACCCGUGGCGAAGGCGGCUCUCUGGGACGGUACUGACGCUGAGACGCGAAAGCGCGGGGAGCGAACAGG
This 253-nucleotide ribosomal RNA is filed under the name uncultured bacterium. RNAcentral describes it as "partial 16S ribosomal RNA". It matches the Rfam family "Bacterial small subunit ribosomal RNA", at positions 524 to 776 of the family's 1533-position model. The record is from RNAcentral.